Molecule: transfer RNA, 83 nt
Filed under: Methanosarcinales archaeon
Lineage: Archaea; Methanobacteriati; Methanobacteriota; Methanomicrobia; Methanosarcinales
Description: tRNA-Leu
Rfam family: tRNA
About the family: Transfer RNA (tRNA) molecules are approximately 80 nucleotides in length. Their secondary structure includes four short double-helical elements and three loops (D, anti-codon, and T loops).
Source: RNAcentral
GCGAAGGUUGCCGAGUGGUCAAAGGCGGCAGGUUCAGGGCCUGUUCAUGUAGAUGUUCGUGGGUUCGACUCCCAUCCUUCGCA